UAAUACGAGUGGGGCAAGCGUUGUCCGGAUUUAUUGGGCGUAAAGAGUUCGUAGGCGGGUUAGUCAGUCGAAAUUGAAAUCCCAUGGCUUAACCAUGGGCCCGGUUUCGAUACUGCUAAUCUUGAGUUAGGUAGAGGUAAAUGGAAUUCCUGGUGUAGCGGUGAAAUGCGUAGAUAUCAGGAGGAACACCGAAGGCGAAGGCAGUUUACUGGGCCUAUACUGACGCUGAGGAACGAAAGCGUGGGGAGCAAACAGGAUUAGAGACCCUGGUAGUCCACGCUGUAAACGAUGAGUACUUGAUGGUGGGGGAUUCGACCCCUUCACUGUCGGAGCUAACGCGUUAAGUACUCCGCCUGGGGACUACGACCGCAAGGUUG
This 377-nucleotide ribosomal RNA is filed under the name uncultured bacterium. RNAcentral's name for it is "bacterial SSU rRNA". It matches the Rfam family "Bacterial small subunit ribosomal RNA", at positions 521 to 896 of the family's 1533-position model. The record is from RNAcentral.